UGGGGAAUAUUGCACAAUGGGCGCAAGCCUGAUGCAGCAACGCCGCGUGAACGAUGAAGGUCUUCGGAUCGUAAAGUUCUGUUGCAGGGGAAGAUAAUGACGGUACCCUGUGAGGAAGCCCCGGCUAACUACGUGCCAGCAGCCGCGGUAAUACGUAGGGGGCUAGCGUUAUCCGGAUUUACUGGGCGUAAAGGGUGCGUAGGUGGUCUUUCAAGUCGGUGGUUAAAGGCUACGGCUCAACCGUAGUUAGCCUCCGAAACUGGAAGACUUGAGUGCAGGAGAGGAAAGUGGAAUUCCCAGUGUGGCGGUAAAAUGCGUGGAUAUUGGGAGGAACACCAGUAGCGAAGGAGGCUUUCUGGACUGAAACUGACACUGAGGCACGAAAGCGUGGGUAGCAAACAGG
Molecule: ribosomal RNA, 403 nt
Filed under: Verrucomicrobiota bacterium
Lineage: Bacteria; Pseudomonadati; Verrucomicrobiota
Description: Verrucomicrobia bacterium partial 16S ribosomal RNA
Rfam family: Bacterial small subunit ribosomal RNA
Source: RNAcentral